GCUUGUCUCAAAGAUUAAGCCAUGCACGUCUAAGUAUAAGCGAUUAUACUGUGAAACUGCGAAUGGCUCAUUAUAUCAGUUAUAGUUUAUUUGAUGGUCCUUGCUACUUGGAUAACCGUAGUAAUUCUAGAGCUAAUACAUGCAUAAAUCCCCGACUGCUUGGAAGGGGUGUAUUUAUUAGAUGGAAACCAAUUCGGGGUAACCCGGUUUAUGGUGAUUCAUGGUAACCGAACGAAUCGCACGGCACCAGCUGGCGAUGGACCAUUUCAGUUUCUGACCUAUCAGCUUCCGACGGUAGGAUAUGGGCCUACCGUGGCAAUGACGGGUAACGGAGAAUUAGGGUUCGAUUCCGGAGAGGGAGCCUGAGAAACGGCUACCACAUCUAAGGAAGGCAGCAGG
This 399-nucleotide ribosomal RNA is filed under the name uncultured Synurales. Its description in RNAcentral is "partial small subunit ribosomal RNA". It matches the Rfam family "Eukaryotic small subunit ribosomal RNA", at positions 30 to 432 of the family's 1831-position model. The record is from RNAcentral. Lineage: Eukaryota; Synurophyceae; Synurales.